Molecule: non-coding RNA, 111 nt
Filed under: Desulfofundulus kuznetsovii
Lineage: Bacteria; Bacillati; Bacillota; Clostridia; Eubacteriales; Peptococcaceae
Description: Desulfotomaculum kuznetsovii TPP sequence
Rfam family: TPP riboswitch aptamer (THI element)
About the family: Vitamin B(1) in its active form thiamin pyrophosphate (TPP) is an essential coenzyme that is synthesised by coupling of pyrimidine and thiazole moieties in bacteria. The previously detected thiamin-regulatory element, thi box was extended, resulting in a new, highly conserved RNA secondary structure, the THI element, which is widely distributed in eubacteria and also occurs in some archaea. Analysis of operon structures identified a large number of new candidate thiamin-regulated genes, mostly transporters, in various prokaryotic organisms.
Source: RNAcentral
CAAAGUACAACGGGGAGCUCCUGUUAGGGGCUGAGAAAGGGCUAGUGAGCACCUGACCCGCUAAACCUGCUCGGGGUAAUGCCCGCGAAGGGAAAAGCCGUGUGUGCUGUU